ACACAGCAGCUGUGUCCAGCACACAGAGGACCCAGCCAUCUGCUUUGGUUCAGAGCCCUGUGUCUGUCUGUCAGUCAGUCUCUCCCUGGCUCUCCCUCCAUCCUCGUUCCUGCCUGAAGCCAUGACCCGCUUCUCCUAUGCAGAGUACUUUUCCCUCUUUCACUCCUGCUCUGCACCCUCCAGGUCCACUGCACCUCCUGAGAGUUCGCCGGCCCGGGCCCCAAUGGGCUUGUUCCAAGGGGUCAUGCAGAAAUACAGCAGCAGCUUAUUCAAGAUCUCCCAGCUGGCGCCUGUGGACCCCUUGAUAAAGGCCAUCAAGGAUGGCGAUGAAGAGGCCUUGAAGACCAUGAUCAAGGAAGGGAAGAAUCUUGCAGAGCCCAACAAGGAGGGCUGGCUGCCGCUGCACGAGGCCGCAUACUAUGGCCAGGUGGGCUGCCUGAAAGUCCUGCAGCGAGGUGAGGGCUGGGCUCUGAUGGUGGCAAGAGGUGGGAAAGGGACUGGGGGAAGGGCUGCCGCUCCUGGGGCUUCAUGUUCUUUGCCCACAAUCAUCUUGGGAGAAGGGCAGGCAAGGCUGUCACUUU
This 581-nucleotide small RNA is filed under the name Pan troglodytes (chimpanzee). Its description in RNAcentral is "retained intron". Lineage: Eukaryota; Metazoa; Chordata; Mammalia; Primates; Hominidae. The record is from RNAcentral.